Molecule: ribosomal RNA, 500 nt
Filed under: uncultured Myrionecta
Lineage: Eukaryota; Ciliophora; Litostomatea; Cyclotrichida; Mesodiniidae
Description: SSU rRNA
Rfam family: Eukaryotic small subunit ribosomal RNA
Source: RNAcentral
AUUGUCUCAAGACUAAGCCAUGCACGUCUAAGUACAAACUAAAUGAUGGUGAAACUGCAAAUGGCUCAUUACAACGGUUAUGAUGUACCCGGGAGUUCCGAUGGAUAUUUCCAGUAACACUAGAACUAAUACAUGUCCCUGCGUUUAUUAGUUUCGCACAGUCCGUCGCUGAGUCAUGGUAAACAGUUGAUCGACUCGACGUCCCGGAACAGUUUCCGCCCCAUCAGCUUCGAUGGUUGGGUAUUGGCCUACCAUUGCAACAACGGGUAACGAGGAAUUAGGGUUUGAUUUCGGAGAGGGAGCCUGAGAAACGGCUACCACAUCUACGGAUGGCAGCAGGCGCGCAAAUUACCCAAUGCAGACACUGUGAGGUAGUGACGAGAAAUAAUAAAGCGGGACUUCUGUUUCGCUAUUAUAAUGAGGAAUAACCAAAGGUCAUUCCGAUUAGCAACUGAUGGGAAAGUCUGGUGCCAGCAGCCGCGGUAAUACCAGCGUCAGUA